This 596-nucleotide long non-coding RNA is filed under the name Vulpes vulpes (red fox). RNAcentral's name for it is "lncRNA (ENSVVUG00000028553.1)". The record is from RNAcentral. Lineage: Eukaryota; Metazoa; Chordata; Mammalia; Carnivora; Canidae.
CGAAGAGUGGCUAUUAUUUUAAAAGAAAUUCUCAUAGAAAGAAUGUUGGAUUUAAAAUAAAUAAAUGCGCUCAUGGAAGCUGAAUAAAACUGUAAUACUUCCUUCCUCACUCUCACAGAGGGGAUUGCCUGGCUCACCUGUGUCUGCUUCAAGGUGUGGAAUUACAACCUCUGCUUCUUGCAGCAUACAAUAUCCAGGAUCUCACAAGACAGAACAAAAAAAAUGGAGAAAAGAGCAGUCCUUGGAAUCCUGUGUCUAGGAAUACACCAUUGCUUGAUGAUCUUAACUCCAAGUUUGAAUGCUGAGCCAUUCUUCAGGACUACUGAGGGCACCCAUACCAAAACUGUCCACCUGGAAGCAUCUCUUAGACAAUCUUAAUUUAAAAACUUCUGGGUAGCCCAGGUGGCUCAGCGAUUUAGCACCGUUCUUCAGCCCAGGGUGUGAUCCUGAAGACUCGGGAUUGAGUCCCAUGUCAGGCUCCCUGCAUGGAGCCUGCCUCUCCCUCUCCUUGUGUUUCUGCCUCUCUCUCUCUCUUUCUCUUCCUCUCUGUGUCCCUCAUGAAUAAAUAAAUAAAAUCUUUAAAAAAAUAAUAAAAA